Molecule: ribosomal RNA, 408 nt
Filed under: uncultured bacterium
Lineage: Bacteria
Description: partial 16S ribosomal RNA
Rfam family: Bacterial small subunit ribosomal RNA
Source: RNAcentral
AGUGAACGCUGGCGGCGUGCCUAAUACAUGCAAGUCGAACGGAGAGUCGCACGGGGGAGUAAUAUAUAUCUAAUCCGCCCCUUUCUGGAGGAAUACAGUUUGAAAUGACUGCUAAUACCCCAUAGGAAGUGAUGAGACUAUAUCGUAUCAGCUCUUCGGGGGGGUAACGGCCUACCGAGGCGAUGACGAGGAACUGGUCUGAGAGGAUAAUCAGUCACAUUGGAAGUGAGACACGGUCCGAACACAUACGGGAGGGGGCAGUAGGGAAUAUUGCGCAAUGGGGGUAUCGCUGACGCAGCAACGCCGUGUGAAGGAUGACACUUUUCGGGGAAUAAACUAAUUUUAUUACGGAAGCGGUACCUAACGAAUAAGCACCGGCUAACUCCGUGCCAGCAGCCGCGGUAAUAC